Molecule: long non-coding RNA, 1425 nt
Organism: Oreochromis aureus
Lineage: Eukaryota; Metazoa; Chordata; Actinopteri; Cichliformes; Cichlidae
Source: Ensembl
UGUUUUGUUUUUGAGGGGGGGAGGGGUCAUUACUUUGGAUACUUUUUUCUAACUUCAUUAGGUUUUUUUUUGUUUGUUUGUUUGUUUUUAGAAAUUAAAUCUAAAUUAGAUUCCUUAAAUUCCUUCAAAGUGCUCAGUGGUCAUACGUUUAGUCUGGAUUGAUGAAUAAGAGAGUAUCUGAGUUGUAUGUCAACUUUGAAAUGUUAGCCCCUUAUGUAUGCAGAUUGAGCUUCAGUAAACUACCUGAAGAAGCAUAAUUAAAUGCCCAUAUGGUCAGAGUGGCAGCAAUUACAUCAUAUCAUGUUCAGAGGAUGUAAGAAUUACAUACUCAGAUAACACUGCAUGUCUUUCUGUCAUCUCUUUUGCAGAACGGGUGUCACGGUUCUGGGUCAUUCUGACCCAGCUUCUUCAGUUCUUUGUGUUUUGGUUCGUGUCUGGUGUCAGUGUGUUCGGUUUACUAUUCCCCUGUCUCGUCAGCUGUGAUUUCUCCCAGGUGUGUUCCCCUCCUGUGCCUCAUCCCUUGAUUACUGCCGUGUGUAUAUUAGCCCUGUGUUACCUUUGUUCUCUGUUGCAUCGUUAAUGUUUACUCACCUUCAGUCUGUACUCUGUUUUCCAUCCGUGUGUAUCUGCCUGAUUAGUUUGUAUUUUCCCAGUUUAGUUAGUCCGCUAUUUACCGGCAACCUACUAAUAAAGCGGUUACUUUGAGUUCUACUUCGCCUCACUGAAACCUGCAUUUUGGGUCCUUCUCUCCUUACCUGCCGGUACGCAAACAUGACAACGGGGGGGCUUAGGUUUGCACACAUGGGAUUGUGAGGCUCACAGUUCUUUCCCCCAGCGGGAAACAGAAACAUGUUGCUGUGAAGAAACCACACCUCCACAAGCUGCCUCACAUGUUGCCGCACACAUCCACGUCUCCUAUGUUCAUGUUCUCUUGGGCUGUCAAAAAGCAGUGAGAUUCCUGUUGUUACAUUCUGUUCUACACUAAUAGCACGGAGUGUUAUUGCACUCGUUUAAAAGUUACAUGACUGCAUCAUCAGUAAUGAUAACAAUAAACAUUGCCAAAUUUAACUGGUGGGGCACUUUCCACUGGACCACACUCCACUUUUUUCUCCUUUUUUCUUACAAACUUCCAGUCUAGUUUGAAAAACACAUACAGUGUUGGGGAAACUAAAUUGCAAGGUACUACUUUAUGGUGGAUGAUGUUUAAUAACUGCAAAGCAGCUAUAGGGAAGGAUUUUAUUUAAAGCUCCUUAGUUAGGACGUUGAGUGUCAAGGUUGAUUUGUAACAGAAGCAACAAGAGUGAAAGGGAGCAUUUACAAUAUGGUAACGAGACAUGCUAUGAUGUAUGGUUUGGAAAUGGUGAAACUAACAAAAAAACAGGGGGUGGAGGCCCCAUCUUAUCUUAAUAACCUUCUGGUCACCCC